GGGCCCGCACAAGCGGUGGAGUAUGUGGUUUAAUUCGAUGCAACGCGAAGAACCUUACCAGGGCUUAAAUGUAGUGGGACAGGUCUAGAGAUAGACCCUUCUUCGGACUCAUUACAAGGUGCUGCAUGGUUGUCGUCAGCUCGUGCCGUGAGGUGUCAGGUUAAGUCCUAUAACGAGCGCAACCCCUAUCGUUAGUUGCCAGCGGGUAAUGCCGGGAACUCUAGCGAAACUGCCGGUGCAAACCGAGAGGAAGGUGGGGAUGACGUCAAAUCAUCACGGCCCUUACGUCCUGGGCUACACACGUGCUACAAUGGCCGGUACAGAGAGCAGCCACUACGCGAGUAGGAGCGAAUCUAUAAAACCGGUCUCAGUUCGGAUCGCAGUCUGCAACUCGACUGCGUGAAGCUGGAAUCGCUAGUAAUCG
This 424-nucleotide ribosomal RNA is filed under the name uncultured bacterium. RNAcentral's name for it is "bacterial SSU rRNA". It matches the Rfam family "Bacterial small subunit ribosomal RNA", at positions 917 to 1344 of the family's 1533-position model. The record is from RNAcentral.